UCCCAUAUGGUCUUGUGGUUAAUAUUUGGCGCUUUCACCGCCAAGGCCCGGGUUCAAUUCCCGGUUUGGGAA
This is a non-coding RNA of Saccoglossus kowalevskii, 72 nucleotides long. NCBI's taxonomy places the organism in Eukaryota, Metazoa, Hemichordata, Enteropneusta, Harrimaniidae. The record is from the annotation of a RefSeq genome assembly.